AAGGAUUUAAGUUAAAUAAACUAAUAACCUUCAAAGUUAUAAAUAAAAAUUAUUUUUAAGCCUUA
Molecule: transfer RNA, 65 nt
Filed under: Stheneboea repudiosa
Lineage: Eukaryota; Metazoa; Arthropoda; Insecta; Phasmatodea; Lonchodidae
Description: tRNA-Trp
Source: RNAcentral